UCCAAGGCUAAAUAUUGCUCAAGAUCGAUAGUGAACGAGUACCGUGAGGGAAAGGUGAAAAGCAUCCCGGUGAGGGAGAUGAAAUAGUUUCUGAAACCAUGUCGCUAACGAAGAGUCGGAGCCCCGCACCAAUUUUUGGAAUAGUUCUGUGUUUUUGUAGAUGUGAAAGGCGAAGCCGUUUCGCUUUCAUUUCUCAAUGAUGGCAGGAUUGUACUUGAAAUUGGUGCGGGGUGACGGCGUGCUUUUUGCAGAACGAGCCAACGAGUUUGCUCUACGUGGUCGCCUAACCCAGUCUUUGUGUUUUUAUAUCUUGUUGGUUUCAUUGAGGAAGAGGUUGUCCUUUUUAUUUCUUUGGAAAACUACCUGGUAGCUCAGUGGUAGAGCGGCUUCUUGGUAAGAAGGAGGUCGCAGGUUCGAAUCCUGUCCAGGUACCCAUUCCAAAGAUCCAAGAAUUGGAUAAUGAUUUUCUUUUGUGGAUUUGUAGAGUAGGGCGCUGAUAGCUCAGAUGGUAGAGCACUCCCCUGUCAAGGGAGAGGAGUCGCGGGUUCGAGUCCCGUUCGGCGCUCCAUUUCUACAAAGAAGUGGAAAAGAUAAAAAAGGAAAAAGCAAAUGCAACGACAUUUGCCUUCAAUGAAGCUUGCAAGAAAACUAGAAACAGAAAGACUGGGGGAGGCGUAGUGAAAGCGAGCCUGAUAAGGGCGCCUGCCCGCAUUGCUACGCGUAAGCGUUGCAGGCGGGUGUAUGAUCGCGUGGACAAGACCCGAAGCCGGACGAGCUACAUAUGAGCAGGGUGAAGCGAAGGUAAAACUUCGUGGAGGCCCGAACCCACGAGCCGUGCAACACUCGGGGAUGACUUGUGUGUAGAGGAGAAAUUCCAAUCGAGUUCGGCGAUAGCUGGUUCUCUCCGAAAUAGCUUGAGGGCUAGCGUCGCGGAAGUAGGGUCGGGAGGUAGAGCUACUGGAUGAGAAUUCGCGGGCAACCGUAGGAUUUUCAACCAAACUCCGAAUGCCCGAUACCCGUACCGCGGCAGUCAGAAAUCCGGGGCUAAGCUCGGAUCUCAAAAGGGAAACAGCCCAGAUCGUCAUCUAAGGUCCCCAAAUCUCUGUUCAGUGGAAAAGGAAGUGAAGUUUCUCAGACACCUAGGAGGUUGGCUUAGAAGCAGCCAUCCUUUAAAGAGUGCGUAAUAGCUCACUAGUCUAGAGACUUCGCGCCGAAAAUGUAACGGGGCUAAACAGAGUACCGAAGAUACGGGAUUCUUUCUUGCUUGCAAGAAAGAAUCGGUAGGAGAGCGUUCCUUGUGCGCUGAAGCGUGCAUCGCGAGAUGGCGUGGAGCGCAGGGAAGUGAGAAUGUUGGCAUGAGUAACCGCAAUGCAUGUGAAAUCCAUGCACACCGAAAGUCCAAGGUUUCCCGGGCAACGGCGAUCGUCCCGGGGUUAGUCGGUCCUAAGGCGAGGCCGAAAGGCGUAGUCGAUGGCAAAUCGGUUAAUAUUCCGAUACUAUAGAACACAUUCGAUGGAGUGACGCAUUCUAGUAUUCUUCGCGCAUUAUUGGAUUUGUGUAGAGAUAUUGAGGGCGCCGGGUAGGCAAAUCCGCUCGGCAUUCUCCCAAGAUAUUUCUGGACGUUCGGAUUCGUCCGAAUGAACGAAGAGGAGCAGGGUGCCAGGAAAAACUUCUCAGGUUCGUGUGUUCAUAACCGUACUAAAACCGACACAGGUGGACUGGGCGAGGAGCCCAAGGUGAACGGGAGAACCUUCGUUAAGGAACUCGGCAAAAAAGCUAGGCGUACGUUUGCAAUAUGCCUUGCCCGUCGCAAGACGGGCCGCAGCGAAAGUUUCCCAAGCGACUGUUUACCAAAAACACAGGUCUCUGCAAACCCGCAAGGGGAAGUAUAGGGGCUGACGCCUGACCAGUGCUGGAACGUUAACGGGAGCGGUUUACGCCAAUCCCCGAAGCGCCAGUGAACGUCGGCGAUAACUAUAAUCGUCCUAAGGUAGCGAAAUUCCUUGUCAGGUAAAAAUGGGUUAGAUAUUUGCCUGAAUGUUGUGGUGACACGACAAAAGUACACCGGCUUAUAACGGUGAAGCCCGCCCUUCCCAGAGACGAUUGGGAAGAGGGUGAUACCGUGGGAAUCCCGAAAAAAUCGGGGACCCGUAACGACUGAAGCGAAAGCUGAGAUCUCGCAAGGGCGAGAUAACACGCCGGCUCUUAUCACAGGAAAAUGAAAGAAAAAAUCUAUGGAUUUUGCGUCGUAUGUUUCCGGUUUUGUCGAUGGUGAAGGAUGUUUCAGUGUUUCGUUUAAUCUUCGAGAGAAGCUUCGAACGGGCAUUGAAGUUCGUCCAAGUUUUUCCAUUGCGCAAAACAAGCGAAAUCUUGCUGUUAUCAAGAAACUCCAUACGUAUUUUGGGUGCGGUGCCAUUCGAUUUUCAAAGAAUGACCAGUGCUACAAGUACGAAGUGCGAGACUUGAAAGAACUGCGAGAAAGAAUUGUUCCGCACUUCAAGCAAUUUCCUCUUUUGACUUCGAAGCAGUGUGAUUUCGAAGUGUUUGAAGAAACAUGCGAUCGUGUGGCGCAAUCAAAGCAUAGGAAUCCGAAACAUCUUCGAGAGAUUAUUUCUCUCGCAUAUGCUAUGAAUGGUUCCGGGAA
Molecule: transfer RNA, 2644 nt
Filed under: activated sludge metagenome
Description: bacterial LSU rRNA
Rfam family: Bacterial large subunit ribosomal RNA (bases 1-2093)
Source: RNAcentral